RNAcentral lists this ribosomal RNA (551 nucleotides) under Shigella flexneri. Its description in RNAcentral is "bacterial SSU rRNA". It matches the Rfam family "Bacterial small subunit ribosomal RNA", at positions 52 to 592 of the family's 1533-position model. The record is from RNAcentral. Lineage: Bacteria; Pseudomonadati; Pseudomonadota; Gammaproteobacteria; Enterobacterales; Enterobacteriaceae.
CACAUGCAAGUCGAACGGUAACAGGAAGCAGCUUGCUGUUUCGCUGACGAGUGGCGGACGGGUGAGUAAUGUCUGGGAAACUGCCUGAUGGAGGGGGAUAACUACUGGAAACGGUAGCUAAUACCGCAUAACGUCGCAAGACCAAAGAGGGGGACCUUCGGGCCUCUUGCCAUCGGAUGUGCCCAGAUGGGAUUAGCUAGUAGGUGGGGUAACGGCUCACCUAGGCGACGAUCCCUAGCUGGUCUGAGAGGAUGACCAGCCACACUGGAACUGAGACACGGUCCAGACUCCUACGGGAGGCAGCAGUGGGGAAUAUUGCACAAUGGGCGCAAGCCUGAUGCAGCCAUGCCGCGUGUAUGAAGAAGGCCUUCGGGUUGUAAAGUACUUUCAGCGGGGAGGAAGGGAGUAAAGUUAAUACCUUUGCUCAUUGACGUUACCCGCAGAAGAAGCACCGGCUAACUCCGUGCCAGCAGCCGCGGUAAUACGGAGGGUGCAAGCGUUAAUCGGAAUUACUGGGCGUAAAGCGCACGCAGGCGGUUUGUUAAGUCAGA